GAUGUCACGGAUCGCAAGAUCAUGACUUGAGACUUGGCAUGACACGGGAAUGUCAUGGCACAAGGUGGGAAAAUGAGAUAGACUUAUGGCAAAUAAGGUCUAUGCUUCGGCAAUAUAUGGCGAUGAGUGCGUCGCCAAAUUCAGUGGGGGAGUGAUUUACACUUAACGCGGUCGCGUUCGAUCCGUCCCGGUAGCGAUCGCAAGAUAGCGCGGGUAACGCGUUUCUGAAGGAUGGAAUAGCUUGCGAUAGGGGACGCAAGCAGAUUUGGUAAAGGUCGCAGGUAGAUUCGGGCUGGGGAUGCAUAGAUGACUUUGGGGCAGAAUGCAUGCUGCCUAGAUCGUGCAAUUUUCCAGGGCGUUAAUGGGGUUUUUCUAAGUCCCGACCCAGCCAUUUUAGGAGGAAAAAUAUAUGGACCUGCAGCGGGAUAUUUUGAGGAUGCAAGUGGACAACUUGCACAACUUGUCCACUUGUGUGACACUUGCAAGCUAGGCGCGAGUUGUAGGCAAGCUAAGCACGAGUUGGCAAGGAUAAAUAUCAACGGUACAAGCUAGACGCGAGUUGUAUGCAAGCUAGGCACGAGUUGGCGACAACUUGCAAGGCAAGUUGUAAUACCAUCCACUUGAAGAUAACUAAGGAUGAGUUGGCGACAACCAAGCACGAGGUGGCGACAACCAAGCGCAAGUUGUAAAGUGGAAGGUUAAGGAGGUUUAAGUUUUCUAUAAAUAGAGAGGUAGUCUCAUUUGUAAAUGGUAUGGAGUAGAGGUUAGAGAGUGUAGAGAAUAUAAGAGUGAAGAGAGUUUAUUCAUUAGAGAGAUUGUAAAGUUUUUCCUUUCAUUUAUACAAAGAAAGUUUCCCCAUCUUUACUUGUUUUCCAUAUAUUACUUACUUCAAAAUUCUCUUCUCAACGUGGGUAUAAUUUAGCCUCAUUGGUUAAAUUAUUUGUGAGCGUAGAAAGGCUGACUUAAUGUUUUCUCGUGAGGUGCGGGAAUUGUAGAACGUUAAGGCCGCACGGUUCUAGUUUGUUCGGGUGUAACGAAACUAGGCCCGUGACAUAGAGCUAGCUUCCACAUAAUAUUUGGAACCUAUAGCCUUAGCCGUUUAAACUCUUAAUAGAAGAUCAUAAUUCAAAUUAGAUUUCUUCUUGUUACCGGGAUAGAUGAAUUCUUAUAAAUCCACCAGAAACACAGGUUAGCCGCCUAAUAGAUCACUGUGAUGCUAAGCAGCACAUGAUCAGCCCACAUGGUUAGCAAAUCAUUUUCACAUCUGGGGGAAAGGUGAAGGAUAAGUGUUCCCAUAAAUUUCAUCAAGAAACUAAUGAUUGAGAUGAUUAGGCAAUCAUUUUCAUAAAGGCAUGUGGCCAUUCCGCUCCACGGUGUAGAAGAAAGUUUGAAGGAUGGAUUAGUAAGAAACAUUUCAUUUAUAAGAAAGCAUGUAGUUGAGGAAACUAAUGAGAAUGGAUGAACUUCCGCCAAAAGCCUAAGGAAUUUCCACUCAGAAAUGCUGACGGCUUUCCUGCUAAAAAUACUCAAUGCUAUAUUGCCACCUGGAGAUAUAGUAACAGCCAACUUAGGAUAACACUGAACAAGAUCCAGAGCCCCAUCUGCAGAAAUACACAGAUAAGUACAUGAUCAUCAAUCCACAUCACAACAUAAAUGCAACAUUUUCCAUAAAUUCUCUGUUUCCAAGAACAGCAAUUGAAUAGCUAAAGUUCUUAUUACACUGGCAUAUGUUAUAAUGUUAUUUACAACUGUUAAACAAGCGUAUGAUCAGUACUUAAAAGUAAAAUCACGGAUUAGAAUCAAAAUAUACUAGCACUCUCCCUAUUACCUUUCAUCGCAGCUUGAACGGAAAAUCCAUUUAUAGAAAUUUAAGUGAAUUUUUAUUGCCUGAACUCUGUUUCCGGCGGCUCACAUUCCCUGCAAAACUCCCUUGAGCAGCUGAACAUCCAAACGAGAUGAAGGGUUCGGCGAACCUAGCUAAGUCUUCCAACUUCCGUGGAGUUUACAGAGACUUGACUGACUUCCAUCUUCGGUCUUCGAUGUGGAAACUGGAAACUAAGAGAAAAUGAAAUGUUUUAGUUGAUACCAUGUGGCAAUGUCAAACUUUCACGCAAUUUUUAGAAGUUGAAAAUAAACAUAGAUCCGGAAAUUCCUGUAUAAGGCUACCUUUCGAACUGCUAAUGAAUCCAUGAACAGACAAGAGACAACCUGACGAAUUGAAACAUCUUAAUAGCCAGAGAAAAAGAAAACAAAAACGAUUCCUGCA
This 2266-nucleotide long non-coding RNA is filed under the name Olea europaea subsp. europaea. Lineage: Eukaryota; Viridiplantae; Streptophyta; Magnoliopsida; Lamiales; Oleaceae. The record is from RNAcentral.